UACGUAGGGGGCAAGCGUUGUCCGGAUUUAUUGGGCGUAAAGAGCGUGUAGGCGGCUUCACAGGUCCGCUGUGAAAACUCGAGGCUCAACCUCGAGCUGUCGGUGGAAACCGUGUGGCUAGAGUCCGGAAGAGGAGAGUGGAAUUCCCGGUGUAGCGGUGAAAUGCGCAGAUAUCAGGAGGAACACCAAUUGCGAAGGCAGCUCGCUGGGACGUUACUGACGCUGAGACGCGAAAGCGUGGGGAGCAAACAGG
Molecule: ribosomal RNA, 253 nt
Filed under: uncultured bacterium
Lineage: Bacteria
Description: partial 16S ribosomal RNA
Rfam family: Bacterial small subunit ribosomal RNA
Source: RNAcentral